RNAcentral lists this long non-coding RNA (456 nucleotides) under Gossypium raimondii (Peruvian cotton). Its description in RNAcentral is "long non-coding RNA (GRAI_LNC003892)". The record is from RNAcentral. Lineage: Eukaryota; Viridiplantae; Streptophyta; Magnoliopsida; Malvales; Malvaceae.
UGAGGUUCAAUAUUUGUUGCAAACUCUCGUGUUAUACUGUCUGUUUGAUGUAUUUCGGUUGGAGUAGCUCUUAUGAGCAAUUGUCGUGUUUCAGUUGGACUAACUCUUGUGAGCAUUUGGUGUGUUUUGGAGGGAUUGACUCAUAUGAGCAUCUAGCGUGUUAUGGUUGGACUCACGAUGUGCUCCUAUCCGUCAGUCAUUCUUCAAAUUGAAAACCUUGUUAAGGUAAUUUGUUUAAUAAAUUUGAUGGAUUUGCUAUAUGUUUUGAGUAUUGAAUUGAAAGCAUGAAAUUUAUCCGUUGAGAUUGUAUAUGAUAGGGAACCUUCAUGGUUGAAUUGUUAUUAUUUGAAUUGUUGUAUUUACUUCGGUAAGAUUUGUCAUCGUUUUAAUACGUCAAACUUACUAAGGUUCAUUUAAUCUUUGAUUUUGUAGAUGCUCGAAAGGUUGGACGAUCGG